Molecule: ribosomal RNA, 400 nt
Filed under: uncultured bacterium
Lineage: Bacteria
Description: bacterial SSU rRNA
Rfam family: Bacterial small subunit ribosomal RNA
Source: RNAcentral
GGGGAAUAUUGGACAAUGGGCGAAAGCCUGAUCCAGCCAUGCCGCGUGGGUGAAGAAGGCCCUAGGGUUGUAAACCCCUUUCAGCGGGGAAGAUAAUGACGGUACCCGCAGAAGAAGCCCCGGCUAACUCCGUGCCAGCAGCCGCGGUAAUACGGAGGGGGCUAGCGUUGUUCGGAAUUACUGGGCGUAAAGCGCGCGUAGGCGGAUCUGCAAGUCGGGGGUGAAAUCCCGAGGCUCAACCUCGGAACUGCCUUCGAUACUGCGGGUCUCGAGUCCGGGAGAGGUGAGUGGAAUUCCUAGUGUAGAGGUGAAAUUCGUAGAUAUUAGGAAGAACACCAGUGGCGAAGGCGGCUCACUGGCCCGGUACUGACGCUGAGGAGCGAAAGCGUGGGGAGCGAAC